CCUCAAGAUCCGCCUCCCAAAGUGCUGAGAUUACAGGAGUGAGCCACCACACCCGGCCUCACUUUUAGGAUUUCUUGUACCCUGAGGGCUUUGUGAAACACUUUAAAGUCCAAGAAUUAUCACCUAAUAUUUGUUUUCUUGGCCGGGCGCAGUGGCUCACGCCUGUAAUCCCAGCACUUUGGGAGGCCGAGGUGGGUGGAUCACAAGGUCAGGAGAUCGAGACCAUCCUGGCUAACAUGGUGAAACCCCGUCUCUACUAAAAAAAAUACAAAAAAAUUAGCCGGGCGUGGUGGCAGGCGCCUGUAGUCCCAGCUACUCAGGAGGCUGAGGCAUGGGAAUGGCAUGAACGUGGGAGGUGGAGCUUGCAGUGAGCCGAGAUUGUGCCACUGCACUCCAGCCUGGGCGACAGAGCGAGACUCUAUCUCAAAAAAAAAAAAAAAAAAAAAAAAAAAG
Molecule: long non-coding RNA, 453 nt
Filed under: Homo sapiens (human)
Lineage: Eukaryota; Metazoa; Chordata; Mammalia; Primates; Hominidae
Description: HSALNT0391709
Source: RNAcentral